UUACUAUUUGGCGGCGAGCGGCGUACGGCUGAGUAACACGUAUGAACGUACCCCAAAGUGAGGGAUAAGCACCAUAAAUGGUGUCUAAUACCGCAUGUGCUCUAAGGAGUAAAGCUUCGGCGCUUUGGGAACGGCCUGCGUCCGAUUAGCUUGUUGGUGAGGUAAAAGCUCACCAAGGCGACGAUCGGUAGCUGGUCUGAGAGGAUGAUCAGCCAGACUGGGACUGAGACACGGCCCAGACUCCUACGGGAGGCAGCAGUAGGGAAUUUUCCACAAUGGGCGAAAGCCUGAUGGAGCAACGCCGCGUGCAGGAUGAAUGCCUUCGGGUUGUAAACUGCUUUUAUAUGUGACGAUUAUGACGGUAGCAUAUGAAUAAGGAUCGGCUAACUCCGUGCCAGCAGCCGCGGUCAUACGGAGGAUCCAAGCGUUAUCCGGAAUUACUGGGCGUAAAGAGUUGCGUAGGUGGCAUAGUAAGUAUAUAGUGAAAGCGUUCGGCUCAACCGAAUA
Molecule: ribosomal RNA, 507 nt
Filed under: uncultured bacterium
Lineage: Bacteria
Description: bacterial SSU rRNA
Rfam family: Bacterial small subunit ribosomal RNA
Source: RNAcentral